UCGGCCUCCCAAAGUGCAAGGAUUACAGGCGUGAGCCACUGCGCCCAGCCCCGCUUCUAUUUCUUAAUCGUGCUUUAUAAAUGCUUACUGAUUUGCUGUCUCAUUUCAGUCAUUCAUUCACUUAAUCUUUAUUGAGUCCUAUGAGUCAGGCUCUGCUCUGAGAGCCAGGGAUCACAGCUGAGAAUAAAACAGACAAAAGUCCUUGCCCCUAUGGAGUUCGUUUUGACAAGAGAGACAGACAAUAAAUGAGGCAAACAAAUAAAAUACGUAUUGUGUUGGGAAGUAAAGAGGCCAAGGAGAAGGAAAAAAAAACGGUAGGGGGCUAGAGAGUUCUGUGGUGAGGGCCCAGUGUUCGCUAGGGCGGCCUGGGAAGGCCUCACUGAGAGGAAGUCAUCUGAGUAAAUCCUAAAGGAGGAGCCCUGGGGAUGUUCCAGGCAGAGAACAGCUAGUGCAAGGGCGCCGAGAGGGGAGCACGUCUCAGGAAAGAAAACUGGCUCAGAGAGGCUGAGUAACCUGCUCAAGAUGACACAGCUUGUGGGUGGCUGAGUUGGCCUUCCAACCCAGAUUCCUGUCAUGUUCCUCAAGCCGACAGGUUCAGCUUGGUUGUGACCUCUGCUAGAAGCCCUCCCUGGCCUCCCUGUGCACUGAGCUGGUGGUUCCUCCUUUGCGCCCCAGGUACAUGCUCAGAUCUGUGUACCCUACACUUUGUCCUCCAGCUUCGUGUUUGGAUGUUCACAACUCCCAUGAGAAGGGCCCCCGAGAGCUGGCACAGUGCAUGUGUUUCCUCUCCAGACUUCUACAAACCUGGCACAUAAUUGUUUGCUGAAAGAUGGCAUGUUCCUAAAACAGAGGAAGUAGAACCGAAUAAAGCGAAAUCCAACUUCCCA
This 887-nucleotide long non-coding RNA is filed under the name Homo sapiens (human). RNAcentral's name for it is "HSALNT0302101". Lineage: Eukaryota; Metazoa; Chordata; Mammalia; Primates; Hominidae. The record is from RNAcentral.